GGGGCUGUGGGGUAGCUUGGUCCAUCCUAUGAGCUUUGGGAGCUCGUGACGGCGGUUCAAAUCCGCCCAGCCCCA
This 75-nucleotide transfer RNA is filed under the name Methanobacteriota archaeon. RNAcentral's name for it is "Euryarchaeota archaeon tRNA-Pro". It matches the Rfam family "tRNA". Rfam says of the family: Transfer RNA (tRNA) molecules are approximately 80 nucleotides in length. The record is from RNAcentral. Lineage: Archaea; Methanobacteriati; Methanobacteriota. RNAcentral also lists the same sequence under 1 other name.